Molecule: long non-coding RNA, 264 nt
Filed under: Helicoverpa zea (corn earworm)
Lineage: Eukaryota; Metazoa; Arthropoda; Insecta; Lepidoptera; Noctuidae
Description: uncharacterized LOC124636817
Source: RNAcentral
UAAGUUGUUGAUUUUUAAUAUUGGUGACUACUGCGGCAAGGAAAAACGUACGAAGUCCCAUCCAAUAAACAGAGAAGAUAAUAUCGCGAUCCAUUGAGAAAAGAAGGCCACGAUAAAGAAGAAUUUGUCAGUAUUCAAAAGCUGCUGAAAAAAUAUGGAAAAAGAACGAGUUCUUGGCAUACAAUGCUCACACGAGAAAUAUUCUAUUAAUUACAAAAAAAGGAUGCUAAAUGACAGCUGGGCCUUCAGUUUACAAAUUAUAAA